This 1754-nucleotide long non-coding RNA is filed under the name Oreochromis niloticus (Nile tilapia). RNAcentral's name for it is "lncRNA (ENSONIG00000034653.1)". The record is from RNAcentral. Lineage: Eukaryota; Metazoa; Chordata; Actinopteri; Cichliformes; Cichlidae.
AUGCUACAGCAGAUCAGAAACAGCAUGAAGAUCUACCACCUUCUGGAGGUGACUGGAAGGCACCAAAGUCUUUGUUCAGACCUGUUUGUUCCCAGAGAUGACAGUGAUGACACAAGGGAUGAAGACCAAGAGGGCUGUGCGUGUGGGAUCCAGGACAUACAAAACCAGGACCAGGAGGAACACUGGAGCUCCAAACACAAACUACUGAGGAUGUCUGUCCCAGCGAUUAUGCUACACAAACCAUGGCUUCCAUCAGAAAGGGCCAAUUUAAAAUCCAUGCAAGGUUUGAAUAUCGCUGCAAAGAUAAGAUGCCUGGACAUCACAUAAGUGCUUCUUUCCUGUGGCACUCAUGAGCUCAUCCACCGAGUUUACAGGCAUUAUGACACCAGCUGUCACAGUGGGAAGGGAGAAGCCGUGUGUAGCUGACACUCAAUAAAUCACGAGCUAGGCAGCACUGCACUGUAGCCCUGCUGUUUAAAACCUAUUUCAGUUCUCAGAGACCAAAAUGGAUUCACAGUCACAUAUUGUGUUCCCACCUUGUGUCAGCAAUCGCAGUGUGGAUGUCCAGAGUCCAAACGGGAACAGUUCUGGUGGGCGGCCACAUGGCCAGCGACUGAUUUGAAACCCUUCAGGAGGGCACCCGCAUUGCCAGCGGUGGCACUGGGGUGGAUCCGGAGUCCGGCCGUGAGGAAGGUGGCGACGGCGAAGAAGUCCAGUCAGUAACCUGCAAGGUAGCCGCCGACGCCAAACCCAACGUGGACGGGACGGUGGCAUGGCGAUCGCAGGACCAGACGAUGGCGUGGGAGCCGCCGGUGGCAGAGCUGCAGGCCACGGCAUGGGAGCCACCAACGAGGCAGGGCCAGCAGGAAACCUCUGGCUGAGAAGAGAGGGCGUUCACAGCCGUCUCUGGAUGCUGUGGCUGUAGAUCAGGGAACAGAGCUUGAGGCUGGACCACAGACUGGAUGGGAGGCUGAGCUAACCACUGGACUGGUGACUGAGCUAGCUAUAGCAGAUGAGCCUCGCUUCUCCUGAGCGUAAACAGCUGAGCCGCCGAGCUAGGGACCCUCCACUGAGCCGCGGUGGGAGGCGGAAAAGAAAAGGAAGACUGACUGGAUGACUGAACUGAGGAACACAUACGGAAUUGACAGGGCAAGAGACUGAUGAAGCUAAGGACUUAAAUACACUGGCUGAUAAUGAAUGAUAAUGAGAAACCGGCUAGCACACAGCUGAACUUAAACUAAUGACACAGGACAGGAACUGGCACAGCAAAACAGGAAAUGAGUGAACAAUAAACAGAAGAUGAGCAGCUGAAAAGAAUAACGACCCAGGAACCCUGACACCGUGUUUGACCCAGUAUUGGUUCUUGUAAUGUUAAAAACUAUUCAGAGGACUGCUUUCAUAAAGACCUGAUGAAUCUAACAUUGAACUUGUAUCUCAAAUUCAUUUUUGUAAGUCUGAAGACUUUUAGAGUUUAAGUGAAUUUUAUUUUUUUGAAAUGUAUUUUUAUAUGAAGCAAGUAAAACUUUUUCUCUCACUUUAAAGUUUUCCAUGGUCGGUGUAGUGAUGUUUAGUCUGUUCAGUUGAAAAUAAAUAUUCUUCCACCUGAUCAAUUGGUUUGGUCAGUCAUUGAAAGGAUAUCGUAGAAUUUGAGCAUUUAUUGACAUUUGAAAGAAAUUAAUCAACUCAGUUACAAAACGUAACCAAAUGUGGCUAUUUUAAACUUAAGUUAUAAAAGUACAAACAGCAUUUGACGC